This 510-nucleotide ribosomal RNA is filed under the name uncultured bacterium. Its description in RNAcentral is "partial 16S ribosomal RNA". It matches the Rfam family "Bacterial small subunit ribosomal RNA", at positions 28 to 507 of the family's 1533-position model. The record is from RNAcentral.
GACGAACGCUGGCGGCGUGCUUAACACAUGCAAGUCGAACGAAGAGCGAUGGACGCUUGCUUCUAUCAAUCUUAGUGGCGAACGGGUGAGUAACGCGUAAUCAACCUGCCCUUCUGAGGGGGACUACAGUUGGAAACGACUGCUCAUACCGCAUACGAUCUAACCUCGGCAUCGAGGAUAGAUGAACGGUGGCCUCUACAUGUAAGCUAUCACUGCAGGAGGGGAUUGCGUCGGAUUAGUUAGUUGGAGGGGUAACGGCCCACCAAGGCGAUGAUCAGUAGCCGGUCGGAGAGGAUGAACGGCCACAUUGGGACUGAGACACGGCCCAGACUCCUACGGGAAGCAGCAGUGGGGAAACUGCCGCAAGGGACGAAAGUCUGACGGAGCAACGCCGCGUGAGGGAUGACGGCCGUCGGGUUGUAAAGCUCUGUUAAUCGGGACGAAAGGCCUUCUUGCGAAUAGGGAGAAGGAUUGACGGUACCGGAAUAGAAAGCCACGGCUAACUACGUG